RNAcentral lists this unclassified non-coding RNA (406 nucleotides) under Melitaea cinxia (Glanville fritillary). Its description in RNAcentral is "misc RNA ENSMCXG00005014418.1". The record is from RNAcentral. Lineage: Eukaryota; Metazoa; Arthropoda; Insecta; Lepidoptera; Nymphalidae.
ACUAUCUUUCGUCUCCAUCAUCAGACUUUAAUGGCACUUGUAACUCAUAUAGGUGCAAAGUUCUCAUCAAUAGAAACGAAUUAAGUUCAAAAACCGGGUAAUUGCUAUAAAUUGUUGAAGAGUUCCCUCGAAUAUCUUUCUUCUCCAUCAUCAGAUCGACUCCAGACCUUUAUUAAAUAGUAGUGCUUUAUAGUACUUAAUGAAAACAUGAUUAAAUUUACUAGUCACCCUUACGAUUUUUGAAAGCUUCCCUCGAUUUCUCUGGGAUCCCAUCAUCAGAUCCUGGUUUCCUUAUCAUGGUACCAAACUAUGGAUAUCUCCUUUCCAACAAAAAAAGAAUUAUCAAAAUCGGUUCAUAAACGAAGAAGUUAUCUCCGAACAUACAUAAAAAAAAAAAAAAAAAAUA